UCAUCGUAGGGUUAGUCGGGUCCUAAGCUGAGUCCGAAAGGGGUAAGUGAUGGCAAAUUGGUUAAUAUUCCAAUACCAACUAUCUAUUUAGUACAAUGGGGGGACGCGUAGGGUUAAGCAAGGUCACUGAUGGAAUAGUGGCUCGAAAGGCGUAGGUAAGAAGAGUUGGAAAAUCCAUCUUCUGUUUCCGAAACCUGAUAGGCUGAUGAAUUUCUUAGGAAUGCAAUCAGAAUUGUUGAUACCGUCGUGCCAAGAAAAGCCUCUAAGUGUAUAGAUAGUUGCCCGUACCGUAAACCGACACAGGUGGGUGAGAUGAGUAUUCUAAGGCGCGUGGAAGAACCAUUGUUAAGGAACUCUGCGAACUAGCACCGUAUCUUCGGUAGAAGGUGUGCCUACCAUCGUGAAUAGCGACAGAGGUUGCAACAAAGAGUCCCUCCCGACUGUUUAC
Molecule: ribosomal RNA, 448 nt
Filed under: uncultured Campylobacterota bacterium
Lineage: Bacteria; Pseudomonadati; Campylobacterota
Description: bacterial LSU rRNA
Rfam family: Bacterial large subunit ribosomal RNA
Source: RNAcentral